This 330-nucleotide ribosomal RNA is filed under the name uncultured eukaryote. RNAcentral describes it as "partial 18S ribosomal RNA". It matches the Rfam family "Eukaryotic small subunit ribosomal RNA", at positions 1470 to 1796 of the family's 1831-position model. The record is from RNAcentral.
CCCUUAGAUGUUCUGGGCCGCACGCGCGCUACACUGAUGCAUUCAACGAGUCUAAAACCUGGUCUGAUAGGGCUGGGUAAUCUUUUGAAAGUGCAUCGUGAUUGGGAUAGAUGAUUGCAAUUCUUCAUCUUCAACGAGGAAUGCCUAGUAAACGCAAGUCAUCAGCUUGCAUUGAUUACGUCCCUGCCCUUUGUACACACCGCCCGUCGCUCCUACCGAUUGAAUGAUCCGAUGAAUACCAUGGAUUGAGAGUACGAAUGGGUUCGCUCAUUUCUACUGCUCGAGAAGUGGAGUAAAUCUUAUCAUUUAGAGGAAGGAGAAGUCGUAACA